CCAACCCCUUUCAGAGGCAACAAUCGAACAAACUACACCUCCUUUAGCGAAACGAGAAUGAAUGCAUGUGGACUGAACGAAGAGGAAUGCUCCGAAGCAGGCUACUAGCGGUUCAGAUUUGGUCCAGUCAUGUCCGUCUGUGGACAUUAACAUCAAGGCCAGGGUGGACUGAUCAAAUUUCAACUACUUUUUAACGUCCAUGAACGUCCGGUGUUGGUCGGCGCUCAGCAGCAGAUGCCAGGAAACUCACUCUGGCUGGGUCCAAAAUGGCACAUUAUUCCCUGUAUGUGAGGGGAUGUAAGGAACAAAGUAAAGGAACAUGAUGAUUCCACCUGCAGUGCUAACAAAAGGAGAAAGAAGCUAAUGGAAAAAACAAGGAUUUCAUCGUAGUUCCUCCUCAAUAAAUGUAUACACUGUUGUGCCUAUGUAACCAGCGACCCAUGAUGACCCCACAUAUGUUGGGUCAUGGGUCACAUGCAUAGGUAGGCACACAGGUGACCAUGCAGGAAGUGGGAAUUCACAGGUAUAUAGAGAGCAUACUGUAUAGUUCUUACCAUGGUUUAUACCUUGUAUCUAUGAUAUGCCUUUAUGGAAUUCUUGCAAUGCUUUUAUCUUCGCUGCAAACAAAUGAGAAAACAGACCCAACCAAAGAUCUACGUUUAGAAAGCAGGUUGAUUUGCAGUCGUUUAUGAACAUUUGCAAAUCCACCUGUGCUAUCAGGAAUUUACUACAAAAGGACACCUGUCAAGGAGAUUGGUUCAUGGACAUCAGAUAGAAUUGUUUUCCUGCAACAAAUUAAAAACUGCCACGAACUGAAUAUCUAACGAAGAACAGGAGGAAGGAAAACAAAUCUCCCACUCCAUAGCUUUCUCUGUUUUGAAACCGUGUCAUGUUCCCUACUGUAUUAUACUGCCACCAAUUGGUGGCAUUAUGGCAACACACAUCUCCACGUUGAAAGAUAUACCAGUUCAUGUUAUUUUUGACAGAUGACAUUUAUUUCCACACUGCAUAUGAAAUUAGAAACACUAAAAAGUCGGAAUUUGCGCGCAAUAUGUCCAGGAGGAAGAAAAACAGAUUCUUAUUUACAUAAAGAUGUGGUCAUAAAACCUAUGUCAUCCCAAUCUAGGGAUCCUGGGCUAGUCCACACAGAUUAGGUUGUGAUACUGUACUACUGUGUCUACAGUAUACGAUUGACAGGCACUGAUAAUAACACACACCUCUAUGUUUUGUUCCAUUCUGUUCAGCCCGUUCCUGAAUCAGAUUGGGGGAAUGGAAUAUGUGGGCACAGGAAAGCUCACUCAGAAAUGUUUUAUUCCUAAGUAUUACUGCACUGUUGGCGCUAGAAACACAAGCAUUUCGCUGCGCCUGCGAUAACAUCUGCAAAUCUGUGCACACGAUCAGUAAACUUUUGAGUUGAUUUAAGAUGGGGCAUACGCCUGUGCACAGGUAACCUCACUUUACCUGGGCUCUGAAAUGAUUGACGCAGGCCAUUGGAUACAAACAUGAAAUGGAAG
Non-coding RNA from Oncorhynchus mykiss (rainbow trout), 1514 nucleotides. The record is from RefSeq and is a predicted model, not a curated record. NCBI's taxonomy places the organism in Eukaryota, Metazoa, Chordata, Actinopteri, Salmoniformes, Salmonidae.